Molecule: long non-coding RNA, 350 nt
Organism: Oryzias melastigma (Indian medaka)
Lineage: Eukaryota; Metazoa; Chordata; Actinopteri; Beloniformes; Adrianichthyidae
Exons: 3
Source: RefSeq, a predicted model, not a curated record
GGACGACAUGGGGAAGGACCAAUAUAUGAGCAGCUAUCCCAGAAGUACAGAAGAGCUGCAAGUAAAUCUACUCAGAAUUACACUGAAAACAACAAAACCCAAGGUAUCAUGGAAAAAAGUCAAUGGGACUUGAAGAAGAUCCGUUUUCAACGGCGAAAGCUGACCAGGCUGGAUGAUUUUGUGGACACAUACAAAGUUACGUUGAAAGGACUUCUCCGAGAAUACACUGACUCUGUGAGGCGGAAACGGAAGACGCACAGAGUGGACGUGGAGCGGUGGAAACAAAAAAAGCAGAGGAAACGUGGCGUUUAUGUGUCGCCUCUGACCAAGGCUUUUGUUUUCGAGCAAUA